UGUGGUUCUCGGGCGAUGCACCCUGGAAUGGGGCUCCCUCCUCUCUGGUUCUGGGUACGUCACCAGAGAACCACC
This is a non-coding RNA of Myotis brandtii (Brandt's bat), 75 nucleotides long. NCBI's taxonomy places the organism in Eukaryota, Metazoa, Chordata, Mammalia, Chiroptera, Vespertilionidae. The record is from Rfam.